This 449-nucleotide ribosomal RNA is filed under the name Bacteroidetes bacterium PM29. Its description in RNAcentral is "bacterial SSU rRNA". It matches the Rfam family "Bacterial small subunit ribosomal RNA", at positions 51 to 493 of the family's 1533-position model. The record is from RNAcentral. Lineage: Bacteria; Pseudomonadati; Bacteroidota.
UCACAUGCAAGUCGAGGGGUAACAGGAGUAGCUUGCUAUUUGCUGACGACCGGCGCACGGGUGCGUAACGCGUAUAGAAUCUACCUUAUACUGGGGGAUAGCCUUUGGAAACGAAGAUUAAUACCCCAUAGUAUUAUUUUUUGGCAUCAUUAGAUAAUUAAAGUUUCGGCGGUAUAAGAUGACUAUGCGUUCUAUUAGUUAGUUGGUAAGGUAACGGCUUACCAAGACUACGAUAGAUAGGGGUCCUGAGAGGGAGAUCCCCCACACUGGUACUGAGACACGGACCAGACUCCUACGGGAGGCAGCAGUGAGGAAUAUUGGACAAUGGAGGCAACUCUGAUCCAGCCAUGCCGCGUGUAGGAAGACUGCCCUAUGGGUUGUAAACUACUUUUAUAUGGGAAGAAUAAGGUCUACGUGUAGACUGAUGACGGUACCAUAAGAAAAUAAAG